GCCGCCGGCGCCGUCGCCUUCCCGGCGCCGCCCCCGCCCCUCCGCGCGGGGCCGGGGGCAGAGUGGGCGUCUCGCCUCUCCUCACGAAACAAAGAAGCCGCCGCCGCCACCGCCGCCGAGAGAGGACAUGAUGCUAUUACACACUUAACAGACCACACUAUAGUGUAAACAUACUUUUAUAUGUACGAGGAGAACCCAGGAUUCAUUUGACUUUCUUUACUGUGACAUUCACCUUAUAAUGGUCUGGAACUGAACCCACAACAUCUCCAAGAUGAAACAGACCACUGAAAUAAAUCUCAAAGUCCGCUGCGAUGUCUGGGUGCAGAGGCCUACCCCCAUCUGCUCCGACUUGGCUUCAGGCUUGUAGGCUGGAUUUUCAAGGGAUAGUGACUAGCAAGGCUGCAGCUAAUAGAGCUAGUCCCAGCUGUCUCCAUGGUAACGUUGUACCGUAUCAAUGUCACCUUCAUCCCGCCAAGAACAUGGUUCAUAGGACCAAGCCCAGUCGUCUCCAUGGUAACAUUGUCCCCUAUGGACAUCACCUUCAUCCCUCCAAGAACAUGGUUGCACAGAGACCAAGGCAUAAAGGUAGUUUCCCGCUUAUCUGGACGUCAAACCAUGACUCUCCAGCGACCCUGAACUUGGGCAGUGUUGAGGGAGCAGCAGCUGAUCUCAUUCUGUGAAAAACAAUUUAAGAGAUAACAAGACAUAUGAAGAUGAAUACAGCAAACAGCCACAUACCCACUUCCUAGCUUUGCCAAUAGAGCGAAGGUCUCCAGCAUGCACCUCCCCACUUUCCUGCCUUGGACCCCACCAGAGACAGAGACUGUUCUAAGUCUGGUGUUUAACAUGUCUUAGCACGCCUUUAUGUCAUUACAGAGAAGUGGGUUUUGCAGGCUUUUAGAUUUUACUGAUUUUUUUACUUUUCUUUUUAAUGUUUUUUUUUCUUUUUUUUUAAACAUCUUGUUCU
This is a long non-coding RNA of Neofelis nebulosa (Clouded leopard), 967 nucleotides long. RefSeq lists it as uncharacterized. The transcript has 6 exons. NCBI's taxonomy places the organism in Eukaryota, Metazoa, Chordata, Mammalia, Carnivora, Felidae. The record is from RefSeq and is a predicted model, not a curated record.